RNAcentral lists this unclassified non-coding RNA (1910 nucleotides) under Octopus sinensis (East Asian common octopus). RNAcentral's name for it is "phosphatidylinositol 3,4,5-trisphosphate 3- phosphatase TPTE2-like, transcript variant X6". Lineage: Eukaryota; Metazoa; Mollusca; Cephalopoda; Octopoda; Octopodidae. The record is from RNAcentral.
CUCCAGCAGAAACAUUGAGGUGAGAAGCUUCAAUAAUACCAUGACAACAGAAGUAAAAGAUUGGAAACUAAAAUGCUGCUGCUGCUGCUGCUGAUGAUGAUGAUGAUGACAUUGCUACGGUAAGGCAGUAAAAUGGACGAGAAAGCAUUGGAACCAUCUUCAAAGAGUAAUAAUGACAGAAACGAUGCACCUGAGUUGACUGCCGAAACUGGGAGAAUGUUUAAGUAUGGCCAAUUUGAAAACGAAGACGUUUCAGUCAGUGCGCCAGGCGGAGAUCAAGCAGCAACAUUGUCCAUUGAUAUUCAAGACACACAGAUCUCCACUUCCUCUUCCCUUCAUGUCGGAUUCAAAAAUGGUAAAGAUGAACUGAAUAUUAAAUCGACUUCACAACCUUUGAAUGCCUCAUCAACAAAGUUCAUGCCUGAUCCUGCUGGGUGCAAGGCAAGCACUCCAAAAUCAACUUUAGAAGCCAUGCAGUUGAGGGUACAGCGAGUCGUCCAGCACAUUGUAUUUCGCAUCUUCACACUGAUAUUGAUCCUCACUGAUUUUAUACUUGUCAUCGUUGACUUGUCCAUCUACGAAUGUGAUACAAAUAACGGGCUAGAAAUAACGUCACAUAUCAUCAUUACAUAUUUCAUGCUUGAAGUUGGUGCACGGAUAUUCUAUAAAGGGCGAAGAUUUUUCUAUAACUGGAUAGAUAUCGUGGACAUGGUGGUGGUUGUUGCAUCCUUCUUCACCGAUAUGAUAUUUGCCAGUAUUUAUGGAAUAAACUCCUGUGGAAAAAUUAUGAAGAAAGACCACCACAGUUACGUCAAACUUCUUGUUGCUGGACGUGUUGUGAGAAUUUUCCGUAUUUUGAGGAUUCUUUACUUCAUGUAUAUUCAGCAUCGACAUUUGACAUCUGCCUCUCGUAAAAUAGUCUCACAAAACAAACGCCGUUACCAGAGAGAUGGUUUUGAUUUGGAUCUUUGUUACAUCACAGAGCGAGUUAUCGCCAUGUCAUUCCCUUCCACUGGUUUAAUGGCAUUCUAUCGAAACCCUAUACAUGAAGUGGUCAGGUUUUUUGAAACGAAACAUAAAAACCAUUACAAGAUCUACAACUUGUGUAGUGAACGCGAUUAUGAUGAAAGUCUCUUCCAUAACAGAGUUGAACGAAUUUGCAUCGAUGACCACAACGUGCCAUCACUGAAGAAAAUGGUCGAAUUUUGUUCUGAUGUACGAGAAUGGAUGGCAGCAGACAAGAAUAAUAUCAUUGCUGUUCACUGUAAAGGUGGUAAAGGACGAACAGGAACCAUCAUCUGUGUGUGGCUUAUAGACUGUGGACUGUUUCAGGAAGCAAAGGAUGUUUUAGAAUAUUUUGGAGACAGACGCACAGAUCUUAGUGUUGGUAAAAUGUUUCAAGGUGUACAAACGCCAAGUCAGAGCCGGUAUGUCGGUUAUUUUGAAAAAAUGAAACAGGAUUACAAUGGAAAAUUGCCUGAGAAGAAAGAAUUGAAUCUGAUCUCAAUAAAAAUCACCGCAAUUAAAGGUGUUGGCAAUGGUGACGGUAGUGACCUCAGUAUAGAGAUACGUACCGCUGAAAACCUCAUCUAUGAGUGCCACUUAGGGGCAAGUAUUAACUGUCAGGUGAUUAAAUACACAGACAGUGACAGUAUCAUGAUCAACCUGCACCAAUGUCCAGUUCUGGUCAAUGAUAUAAAAGUUAAAUUCAAUUCUACAAAUGUAAAAAAAACUUCCAAAGGGAUAUGAUAAUUGUCCGUUUUAUUUCUGGUUUCACACAUCAUUCAUUGAAGAUCACAGUUUAUAUUUGUCUCGAGAUGAAAUUGAUAACCCACACAAACCAAAAUUAUGGAAUAUUUACAGAGAGAAUUUUGCUAUUAUAGCUUCAUUUGAAGACGUUAAGGAUUGAG